CGCUUUUCAGCUGAGCUUCCGUUUCCUCGAAAAAUGUUCUCAAAAAUACACUACUCAAUAGAAACCGACGAGUUUUGAACUUUUCUGGGGAUGUCAGGUCGCUGGCGAGGUGUUUGCACAAAUGUUUCCGAGCACACACACGAAAAUCUUUGCAAUUGAGAUGCAAAUUGAAUUAUUGUUUGAAUUCUGGCUUUGUUUACGCCGCUCGUUCGAUAAACAUCGGGGCGAAAUGCAGUCAGUGAUAUGUUUGCUGUUGUGUUUGUCGUGUGCUUUAGCUUUUUGUAAAUAUAAACAAAGUCCGGGCUGGCGGGGGCGGGGAUGUCGCGGCGGCGGUUGGCGCAAAUAAAAGUUAAAAAUAAAAACUUAUAAUUGUCCGACGGCUGUUGUUAUUUUUAUUAUUGUUGCCAUUUAUUUUUGGAAAUAGACGUUGAAUUUGUUUAUAUGGAGUAAAAAUAAAUUAUUGCGCGUAGUGCGAGAGCAGCGGGCCAGCAUAAUUUCUCGCGGCGUUCGAUUUAGUAUCUCUAUCUGUUGUGAAUCGCUAGCGGAAUCGGAUCGUUGGAUCGUUGGCUCGGAAUGAAAAUAUCGAACUCGCAAACGGAUCGCAAACUGAUCUGCCGAAAUCGAAUCGAAUCGAAAUCUCAAAAUCUCGAAAUCCCGAAAACCGAAAAACUGAAGAAGCGGCGCUGCGGACGCGUACAAACGUACUGACGGAUAUGCCGUCGUUGACGUCGUAACGCCAAGUACGCACACACAGAUACGCCCGCACACAGCUGCACUGCGCCAGGCUCUCUCGCAGUCGCACACUCACACACACGCACAGCCAGCAAACGGACACGUAUACGUAGGCUGGCGGUGAGGAUUUUCGUUUCGUGGUGAACUCACUCACACGCGCACACCUUCUAACGGUGCCUUUUGUUUUUGCCUUUUUGUGUAACAGAAUAUCGCACACACACAUUGCCGGGCAAUGGGAGAGCGGGAGAGACAGAGAGAGUGCGCAGUCGCUGACUUUGAGUUCUUACUCACAACGAAAGCAAGAGUGAGCGAGAGGCGGCGGGGUUUGGGGGCGUUAGAGAGGGGGCUGGUGGGGGUGAGUGAGUAAUUCGGUUUGUGAGUGAGUGCGUGCGGGAGUCGAACGAGAAACAUAUGGUUUUUGUUUGUGCCCCAGCCAGACACACACACGCACACUCACCCACACACUUGAUCAAUCAGCAACAGUUACAGUUAGUUCCCUCGCAGAGCUUGUUGUCCCACUCUGGCAACCUCCCAUAAAUGUUAAUUAUCCCCCACUUCACCACCCCCCUUCACUACACCCCUGCUAAACAUCGCUUUGGUUUCCGUUUUCCUUUGUAUCCGUAUCUCCCUGCCUUCCAGGACCUCUCUCCUCCCACUAUCUGGGUUUUUUUUGUGUGUAUUUUAUUUAUUUGUCCUUGCCACUGGAUCCUCUCUAUAAACACCCACCUACCAUUAGUUUUCCCCCUCGACGCAGCUUAAUAAAAACUUUGUUGACCUGCGUUUGGCAGCAGAAAAAGGUGAUAUUAACUUCAAAGUUGUGACUGCUGUUCUUGUUAGCUUCGAUGUGAACUAGAAUGUUGAACUAAAUCGUCUGCUAGUGGGUAUAAUAAAUACACACAAAAUGGAAGGAAUCGGAAGGGACAAAGGGUAGGACCCGUAGGAUCCUAGGGUGUGCGGCAACCAACGAUUCAUUGUUUCUGCUCGAUUGAUGAUUGCCUAUUCAGACAGAGGUAAAGUAGUUGUAUGGCUGAAGUUGGGGCUUAAUUUGUGAACCGGACCGCCAGCCAGCCAAGUGGGAUCCAAAGCCCUGUGACCCAGACCCUGUCUAUUGUUGCGUUAAGCGAGAUAUUAUUUACCUUAAACACGCUCUAUUAUGCAGGUUAUGUAGGCGAAAAGAUAAUAAAGUAGGGAUACAUGUACCCCUACUUGAUCCCAAUAGGAAUUAUUACAAAAAUCGACUUUUAUAAAGACAGGAAAAUUGGGAAUGUUGGAUGUGAUUAGUCUACUUCUGCGAAGCAAAUAAAAGCUGUGGCUACUUUUCAACCAGAAAAAAAAUCUACUGUAUAAAGUGUAAACUAUUUAUAAAAGUUAGUUUCUUACACUUUACCAUCUAUAGUUCUAACCCAUAUAAGAAAUGAUUUUGCGUCUAUUUAUAAACAAUAAAGAUAAUUCCAAUAGCGACAAUUUUAGUGAUUAGCCAUUACAAUAUGGCAUUUGUAUCAAUAAGAAAAUAUAUUAAAAGAUAUUCUUAUUUAGUGUAAGCUGCGAUUUAAUAAUUGGAUUGAUAGUUAAAACACAGACAAAAGGAUAUUGAGGGAGGUGAAAUCUUAAAGAAUGCCCAUAUUGCAGUUGCAGUUAAGUGGACGCAACUUUAACGUGACUUUCCGAGUAAUAUGCGAAUGCCAGAUGCCGCAGAUAUUGCUCCGCCCCGCCGAGUGAAUGGAUUCUGUAAAAAUCACGCAUAACCGAUACCAAGUGCAGCGCGACCAAGUUACCCGUUUUAUGGCCCUCGCCUCUCGGCGGCGCCACAAUGUUGCAGUUUGAGAACCGAACCCAGCAGCAAACGAUCCAUGUGUGUAUAUCCGAAGAUCCCUUUCCCACUCCCAUUACCAAUCCCAUUUCCAUUUCCAUUCCGAUUCCCGUUUGCAGUGUCCUUGUGACUUUUAACGCUUCCACUGGGUGCGACAACUGCCAACUGCAAACAGUCGUCGACAGUCUUAAUUCAAUAAACGCCGCCCGGCGAUUUGCGCAUGACCAUGUACCCCGAUGCUGUGCGCCGUACGGUUGAUGCUGCAUGUUGCAUGCACUCAACACAUGUGCAACAUGCGGCAUCUGCGGCAGCAGCAUCAGCAGCAUCGGCCUCAAUGUGCGUUGAGUCCGACUUUAACUGCUUGGCAGGGGUUUCUUCAGGGGGAUCUUCGAGUACCCCAAGCCAAGCCACGUGAAACUCAUAUCCAUGCUACUGCCCUCCGCCGUUGAUGUUUUUGUAAACGCUGCGUAGGUAAUUUCAUAAAUCUCAUUCAAAUUGCCCUUCGUGCCAUGCCCAUCUUGCAGAUACCCAGCAGUAGAACAGCACCAAGUGUAUCCGGAGGGUUGUAAGCAUACGGAAUUACGGGAAAAACAUCUUUUUAAUUGCUCGUCGAGAUUUCGAAAUUGAAAAAUGUCUGCGGUGGUAUCAAUUAUGCAAAUGCUGGGCCCCCGAAAAAAGCAAUGGAAGUUCAGUUCAGCUCAAGUGAUUUCGACGCGGAAAAGUCUCUGGGGAGCUGGUCGACUUCCUGCCAAAGGAGAGGGGUAGGUGUCGCCAUUAGCAUUGCCUAAUUACAUUUCAAUUGCUCGACUUAAACGGGCUUAGGACCCCGACUUGCUCCCUAAUUCAUAAAAAUCUCAAUCAAUUUCCCCGGGCACUGAGUGCAAUUUAAAUGUGAUUAAAUGCCAGCUUAAGUACGCUACUGUUCCUCUUGCCGCUCCUUCAUUGCGACAACGUCGAAUUUUGCCUAAUCUAAUCAAUUUUCCCCGAUGCUAAACGCCCACGCAGAAGAGCCUCUUUUAGCUACAGUUUCAGGCUGUCAGCCCGAAUAAUUCCACCUUAACACGUGUGUCAUUGCGGGGCGAAGGAUCGAGGGAUUCGGAUUCGGAUUCGAGAUUCGACGGUGAAAGCAUUUCUCUGUUUGCAUGACUGAUAAGUUCCCAGAGAAGAAGGCCGGAUGCCUAACCUUCCAUUUUGACUGGCUUAGAAUGCGAAAACUGGCCUCUAAUUGGCUUCGACUGUCAUCCCGACUUGCAAUUAGCAUGGCACGGCAAAUAGAAAACUUUUCAACUGUUCUAGCACACAUCCUGAACUGAACGACCUGCCGUCCGCAAAACUGUCACCGUCGACCAUUUUCCCUUGUUACCAAACUGUUUUUUUUUUUCUACUCCUCACUUUUCCUUUCGAGCUGGUUUGGGAAAAUGGCACAUAUUUAAUGCGAGAACUCUUUUUUUGGGGCAAGGACGAGCUGCAAAAAGGUUUAUAAUUGAAACGGAUGACAUACAUUCAAGCCAACAAAAACCGAACUCGUGGAAAACAAUACCAAGCAUCCUGGCUGGAGAAAAGGGAUGGGAAAAACUGGUGGGAAAGCAGACAGGCAGACAGGCAGACACACGGAAAUUGACAACUCGCAGAGCAAUAAAGAAAAGUGUCCCGCACACACACACACUCACACACAGCGGGAGAGAAAACGAGCAGAAGGAAAACCCGAGGGGGUGGCGGCGGGUUGAUAAGUUUAUACAAUUUCCACCCACAGAACCUGAGUUAUGCCUCCACAUAACACAAUAUUUCCCUAAUGUCUUUAUUAUGUUCCAUUGAGUGUAAAUAUUUGCCUUGCACCCACACACACAGACACACACAAACACAAACUUGCGCACGAGUGCGUGUGUGUUUGUUGGCCAGCUUCAUAAUACGAGGCACGUGCUUCAUAAGAAGGUGAAACAAGCCGAAAAACAAAACAGGUUCUAAGGACUCACCUUCUUCGGGGAGCUCGCUUUCAGCAAUUUUGCCGACACAACAGGUACAAAAGAUUGAGCUGCAAAGAGGCGGAAAAAUACGAAAAUGGAAAUUAGAAAAUUGGGUGGCCACUGGGGGGAGGGGCAGCUUACGACAAAACGCCGAGCUGCGAAAACGCGUCCGUGACGCCAGCGAUUUAUGACGCUCAGUUCAAUGCACACGCGUACCACGUUGACCUCCUGCAUCGCGCUGUUCGCGCCCCCCGCCCAGAAACCCCAGAAUCACUAGAAUCUCCAGAAGCCCCAGAAAUCGGUGGCAAAGUCGGGGUCCGCACAUGUGCGGCAUACCCCCUGCAAAAAUGGACUAAAAGAACUCAGAUAACGAGUUGGAUAACCGAGAAGCUGCUGCGUGAGUCCCAGACGACAAGUGAGCAGAGCGGGUUUAAAGUUGAAAGGAUACCAUAAAUCUUGUAAGCUGAUGCAAAGCGACAUUCGCCGAAGCCGCAAACAAAGCCACUGAAUGCGUGGGGAACCAAGGAGUAGGGCGGCGGAACAGUGAGCCAUCUGAAGGCUCAACAAGUGACGCAGCGACUUGGGAUGCUGCUCGGGUAGAUUGGGUGGUGAUAUAUAGAACCUAUCACUUCUGAAGUAUUGCGCACGUUCUUCUUCUUUAAUUUAGUAACCAAUGUAAGGAACCAAAAUCGUAACUAUAUUAAGAUCAAUGUUAUUAAAUUAAGAUUAAAUUCUAUAAUCCUAGUAAUAAAGAUGAAGUCAAAUCUUUACACCCCUACCCUAUAGAAAGAAAAUGAUGUUCGCCCAAUCAGCAUUUGCAACAUGAGGACUAUUUCUCAAACUAAUUUUCAUCAGAUGUUUGUUGCAUAAAAGACACUCAGGAAAUCCCCAGGCCUAAUGAGGCACAUUUCCCCGGUCUGGAUGGACGGGAUUACCGAUAGCGAGCCCGGUCUCAAGUGGGCGCAUCCUUUAGCUGCUGAUUUGGAUGGCGAGGUCGUUUCCUGGUUGCCAUUGCAUUUGCAGUUGCCGAGCCAGAAGUCAAAUGGCAUAUCUAGCAUAACAUUCUCCUCGACUGCGGAUUCUCUGGCCGAGAAUGUCUGGGCAUCGGAAUGGAGGCACCCAAGCCACUUGAGCCCCGUAUCCGUGUGCGGUUGUUUCUGUUUCUGUAUCUGUAUCUGUUUAGGAGCCUGCAGCCACAUUUUAUUGUUGUCUUUCUCACCUAAAGCCAACUGAAGCGGCAGCAGCGGCCAUAAGGCGCAUCGAUGUAGAAACAUCUUAUGGUUUUUCAUACACUCGGCGAAAAAAUUAUGAA
Molecule: long non-coding RNA, 5818 nt
Organism: Drosophila simulans
Lineage: Eukaryota; Metazoa; Arthropoda; Insecta; Diptera; Drosophilidae
Exons: 3
Source: RefSeq, a predicted model, not a curated record